Molecule: non-coding RNA, 101 nt
Filed under: Thiobacillus denitrificans
Lineage: Bacteria; Pseudomonadati; Pseudomonadota; Betaproteobacteria; Nitrosomonadales; Thiobacillaceae
Also listed under: 1 other name
Description: TPP sequence
Rfam family: TPP riboswitch aptamer (THI element)
About the family: Vitamin B(1) in its active form thiamin pyrophosphate (TPP) is an essential coenzyme that is synthesised by coupling of pyrimidine and thiazole moieties in bacteria. The previously detected thiamin-regulatory element, thi box was extended, resulting in a new, highly conserved RNA secondary structure, the THI element, which is widely distributed in eubacteria and also occurs in some archaea.
Source: RNAcentral
CCCGCUCGCCAGGGGUCUCCCGCCGGUUUCCGCGGGAGUGAGACAUACCCUUCGAACCUGAUGCGGUUGAGACCGCCGUAGGGAGGUGGAUGCGCCUCGCU